This is a long non-coding RNA of Ornithodoros turicata, 248 nucleotides long. RefSeq lists it as uncharacterized. The transcript is spliced from 3 exons. NCBI's taxonomy places the organism in Eukaryota, Metazoa, Arthropoda, Arachnida, Ixodida, Argasidae. The record is from RefSeq and is a predicted model, not a curated record.
CAUUUGAGCAACGCAUUUGAGCAACGCAAGGCGUUACCGAUGGCAAAGUGUCGAUGACUAAAGUGCAUGGACGCUUGUACAGAUGUUCAGUCAGAGGUGCAAUUCUGAAGGACACUCUCCACUAACAUGCAUGGACUUGAGCGACGUUCAAGAAAAUUCUGUCACGCCAACUUCUGCAGCAUGACUGUUCUCCCGCACUGAAAGACCUCCCUUGUAUGUCAACGUCAAAAAUCGCAGACCAAUCCAAG